UACGUAGGAUCCAAGCGUUGUCCGGAUUUACUGGGUGUAAAGGGUGCGCAGGCGGACGUGUAAGUCAGGGGUGAAAUCUCACAGCUCAACUGUGAAACUGCCUUUGAGACUGCUCGUCUUGAAUCCGGGAGAGAGUUGUGGAAUUCCGAGUGUAGCAGUGAAAUGUGUAGAUAUUCGGAAGAACACCAGCGGCGAAGGCAGCAACUUGGCCCGCGAUUGACGCUCAGGCACGAAAGCAUGGGGAUCAAACAGG
Molecule: ribosomal RNA, 253 nt
Filed under: uncultured bacterium
Lineage: Bacteria
Description: partial 16S ribosomal RNA
Rfam family: Bacterial small subunit ribosomal RNA
Source: RNAcentral